Molecule: ribosomal RNA, 333 nt
Filed under: Triticum aestivum (bread wheat)
Lineage: Eukaryota; Viridiplantae; Streptophyta; Magnoliopsida; Poales; Poaceae
Description: partial small subunit ribosomal RNA
Source: RNAcentral
CAUAUCUUGCCAGAUGAUCAGGAAUUUCUAGAAGCUGUCGCAAAAACUAGACUUGACAUCAGAAUAAUACAACAGCCUCCCAACGGUCCUGAUUUGAAUGUGCUUGACCUUGGGUUUUUCAACUCGCUCCAAUCCCUGACAGAUUGUCUGAGUCCUAAAACACUACAAGACCUUAUUAAGGGUGUUUUGGAGGAAUUUGAAGGCUAUGAUGUUUACAAGCUCAACAGAAUUUUCCUAACUCUGCAGUUGUGCAUGAUUGAGAUCCUAAACCAUGCAGGGGGCAAUGGGUAUAAAAUACCCCAUGUAAACAAGGAAAGGCUUGAGGGGAUUGGG